RNAcentral lists this long non-coding RNA (2319 nucleotides) under Calidris pygmaea (Spoon-billed sandpiper). Its description in RNAcentral is "lncRNA (ENSCPGG00000010140.1)". Lineage: Eukaryota; Metazoa; Chordata; Aves; Charadriiformes; Scolopacidae. The record is from RNAcentral.
UAAAGCUCAUGAAAGGAUGAAAAAACAGGGAAACAUUCAAGCUUUUACUAUUGGUAAAGUAGCAGCUAGCAAGUCCUUACGUCAGCUGAGCACACUACAGUGAGCACUGUCAAUAAUUCAUUUUAUUCUCCAGCUAAUCAAGAAACGCAGCCCUUGAUAUCUGAGUCAUUGCUCCACAUCCUGCCCCGCUUCAGCACUUCCUCAUUCAAGGCAGAAGUUCCUUGCAGCAGCACAUUUCAAUCUCAGCACAUUCAGGCAGGAUACCGAGAGAUCCCACACUGCCUUCCCUCCCGCUCAGGACAAGGAGUCUAGAGCCAGCCACCCCUGUGGAAGCUGAACAUUCCUAAACAUACACAGAAGGUGGCAAUCCAGUCCAGGUGGCAAGACACUGCAGACACAUGUCAAUGGCCAGAGCUUUGUUUCAACAGAGACAGAAAUAGCAGCUGGAGCAGCCGGUGAAGUUCGCGACUGGGAAGGAUUCCUAAGGGCCAGGAAGGCACAAAAAUGAAAUGGGAGACUUCUCUCUGGAUGGUUGCCUGCUUACUGUUUGCAUCUCUGCCCAGAGGUCAACCAGACACAACAUGUCAUGCAGUAGUUGGAGAAACUGUCAUUUUGCCUUGCACCACUACCUCUCCUGGAGACCUGAUCCUUUCCAAUUCAAUACUGUACUGGCAGAUAGAGCACACUGUCUUAGUGCACUUUUUUUACAAGGGGCGGGACUCGCUGGAACGCCAGGACGAACGUUACUCUGGCAGAACUAGUCUUUUUUUGGACCAGAUGAAGCAUGGCAACUUUUCCUUAAAGCUCUCCAGUGUCCAAUUACUGGACACAGCUGAAUAUACUUGCAUCUACAAACGGACUGGGGAUCAUCCCAACAAAACACAGAAAUCUAAAAUUAAUCUCAUUGUAUCAGCUCCACCUAGCAUUGAAGAGGCACCUUCCCCUUCUGGACACAGCCAGAUUUCCUCCAGAAGCCCUGCUGAUGUGCCAUUUCUGGCUAUGCUUCCCCUCUCUUUCCACCUCCUGGUCUCACUAGGGGUUUGGCAGUUGUAACUGGGGAACAGGAGAAUCUUUGGGAAGUUCUCCUCACCAGAGGACCUCGCUGGGCAGAACAGCUCUGUAGGGUUGGCAUGACACCUGUUCCAGAGCCACAGGGAAGAAUCAUCAAAGCUGAAAACUGACCUAGCACUAGGUGUUUAUAUCCCACAUUCUGGUGUUCCACAAAGCCAAAGGCAGCAACACUCAGAGGUGGCACGUCUACUUUUUCAUUUCUUUCUGGGAGCCCAGUUUUAGUGCUGCCAUUAUGAACAUUUUAUUUUGGAUUUUGCAGUUUUGCUUUAGCGGCAGGAUAAAAGAUUCACAAAACUCAAAGUCACAUAAUUGACCCUAGUGAGAUCUUUUUCCUAAGACCUCAUCUGCUGUCCUUCAAGAGAACCAAAAGGAGGAGAAGUGGUCAUUGCCCUCUGUGUCAGAUAAAAACUGGAAGUAGGAAGACGCUUGCAUUUUGUGAAAUGUAAGGAUGGAAACCUUGUGAAACUUGAGCCUGUGGAACUUCAGCUUCUAUUUUUACUCGUAAGCGUCAUGGCUAUCAGCAACAACUUUUUUUUCCACAAGAAAUGUAGUAGUUCUUCAGCGGAAGGAUGAAGCUGACUGAGAAAAAUGAUGGAAGUUCAUAAAACAUCAACAUAGAGGAAGGAAGUGAUGUAUUAUUACAAAAUCCACUGCUAAAUAAGCCAAAAGCUUUAGAAGUCUGAAUUCGGUAUUUUCUCUUUUUGUCCUUAAACACAGCAAGGUAAAUGCGAUCAUCACCCAAAAGCUGGAUUCUUAAGCUAAAACUGUGCGACAAGAAAUUGUUACUGUGACAAUGUUACUUCUUUAAAAACAGCACCUUUGGAGGAAAAAAGAAUUAAAAACUGGUCAGAAUAAUUGUAACAGAUACCUAUGCAAAUUAAAUGGGUUUAGUUCUGGAAACGUUGGACUCAGGUAGCAUAGAUGUCCUGUAUAAAACUAAGACUGAAAGGAUCCUGUGUACCAGCAACAUCAAGAAAGUGCAGAGGUUCCAUUUCAGGCCAGAGCUCCUGCGACCGCCCUCUUAUAGAAUGGAGAAGCAUCCGGAGAACUCCUCACCCUGGCUGGUGGGCAGCGGUGAUGGCAACGCACUCCUACUGGCUGAGCCCUCAAGCAGAGGGAAGUGACUCAUCAGGUUGCAUAUAAAGUCGUUUUUAUUUGGAACAGUUCCACUCUCUUUCCAAAGGAAAGACGGGAUUGUUUUUGCCGGGAAAGGAACAGAAUAAAAUAGGAGUUUCAAAAUGGUAUCCA